Molecule: ribosomal RNA, 497 nt
Filed under: uncultured bacterium
Lineage: Bacteria
Description: partial 16S ribosomal RNA
Rfam family: Bacterial small subunit ribosomal RNA
Source: RNAcentral
GAUGAACGCUGGCGGCGUGCCUAAUACAUGCAAGUCGAGCGAACGGACGAGAAGCUUGCUUCUCUGAUGUUAGCGGCGGACGGGUGAGUAACACGUGGAUAACCUACCUAUAAGACUGGGAUCACUUCGGGAAACCGGAGCUAAUACCGGAUAAUAUUUUGAACCGCAUGGUUCAAAAGUGAAAGACGGUCUUGCUGUCACUUAUCGAUGGAUCCGCGCUGCAUUAGCUAGUUGGUAAGGUAACGGCUUACCAAGGCAACGAUGCAUAGCCGACCUGAGAGGGUGAUCGGCCACACGGGAAGUGGGACACGGUCCAGACUCCUACGGGAGGCAGCAGUAGGGAAUCUUCCGCAAUGGGCGAAAGCCUGACGGAGCAACGCCGCGGGAGUGAUGAAGGUCUUCGGAUCGUAAAACUCUGUUAUUAGGGAAGAACAUAUGUGUAAGUAACUGUGCACAUCUUGACGGUACCUAAUCAGAAAGCCACGGCUAACUACGUG